Molecule: long non-coding RNA, 478 nt
Organism: Helianthus annuus (common sunflower)
Lineage: Eukaryota; Viridiplantae; Streptophyta; Magnoliopsida; Asterales; Asteraceae
Exons: 3
Source: RefSeq, a predicted model, not a curated record
GUGUCUGGUUCGAUCAAGAACGCAGGGGGCGACCAAACAUCCUCCACCAAACCCUUGUUCAUGCAAAUUGUCCAAAUUGAAGGCCAAAUUCUGUUUCAAAACGAAAUCCGAGCACGAAAUAGUGAUCUCCACUGAAAAAGGAGUCAUAAGUUUGACGCUAAACGAGCUAGGUGGAAGCUUGAGGACGAAGCGGGUCAAACAAAUCAAUAAGGAAAAGUAAGGCAUAGUUUGGAUGCGAGGAUAAAUCGGCCUAUGAAUUAGCGAUGCUAUGAAUUAGCGAUUAUUGAGACAAGGUAUUAAAACGGGUCAAUAUGUUGAUCCGAACCAGGUACGCAUAUUGUGGGUUAUAGAUAAGUAUACAAUAGAUUGUGCAUAACCAAGGGGAAAGAUUUAAACUUAAAAGGUUUAAAUCUUCGAAAUAGGUCAAAAGAAUUAUGCGCAUAGAUUGGGUACUAGCCGCGUAAUUCAUAAAAGUUAC